Molecule: long non-coding RNA, 488 nt
Filed under: Elaeis guineensis (African oil palm)
Lineage: Eukaryota; Viridiplantae; Streptophyta; Magnoliopsida; Arecales; Arecaceae
Description: long non-coding RNA (EGUI_LNC073865)
Source: RNAcentral
UAUUUUGUUUUAUCUGUCUGAUCCCUCUCAAGCUUGCAUUUUCGACAUCUCACACAAUCGAUUUCUCUUAGGAUUUUUUCUUUAGCCUUUGAAGAAGUCUAUCUUAGAUUCACCUCUCCAACCAUUUGUAUAGUCUCUAUUAACAAUGGGGAUUUCUACUACUUUUCCAUCCGAUGCUACGUGUGCUAUCACUGCAUGCAUCACUCCACCAAAUAGACCGUCAUAUCAUUUCACCAAAAUCAACCAUCCAAUCGAUGUAGCUGCUAGCACUUUCAUUUUAAGAGCCAUCAAAUGCCCUGGAUCUAAACUGACUUGAUUUGGUUAAAGAUGUUGUUCUUGCCGGUGCUUCUCAUCCUUAACAACACAAAAGUUCUGGGCAAAAAUGCUGCAAAAACUAUAAUAAAUAUGGUCAUUAUUUUGCAAAUUGCCCUAUCAUUGAGUGACAAUAUUACCAUAAGCUUGGCAAUAUCCUUCCAAAUUGUCCCACC